UAAGGAAUAUUGGUCAAUGGACGCAAGUCUGAACCAGCCAUGCCGCGUGAAGGAAGACGGCCCUACGGGUUGUAAACUUCUUUUGUACGGGAAAAAACCACCGGUCGUGAACCGGUGCUGAUGGUACCGUAAGAAUAAGCAUCGGCUAACUCCGUGCCAGCAGCCGCGGUAAUACGGAGGAUGCAAGCGUUAUCCGGAUUCAUUGGGUUUAAAGGGUGCGCAGGCGGAAUGAUAAGUCAGUGGUGAAAUCCUACGGCUCAACUGUAGAACUGCCAUUGAUACUGUUGUUCUUGAGUACACUUGGAGUGGGCGGAAUGUGUCAUGUAGCGGUGAAAUGCUUAGAUAUGACACAGAACACCGAUCGCGAAGGCAGCUCACUAAGUUGUAACUGACGCUCAGG
This 400-nucleotide ribosomal RNA is filed under the name uncultured bacterium. Its description in RNAcentral is "bacterial SSU rRNA". It matches the Rfam family "Bacterial small subunit ribosomal RNA", at positions 355 to 751 of the family's 1533-position model. The record is from RNAcentral.